Molecule: long non-coding RNA, 1496 nt
Organism: Apodemus sylvaticus (European woodmouse)
Lineage: Eukaryota; Metazoa; Chordata; Mammalia; Rodentia; Muridae
Exons: 5
Source: RefSeq, a predicted model, not a curated record
UGUGAGCUUUAUCAGAUGGGGGUGGUUCGGUCAAAGUUUGCGAUAACCUUGUGAAAGCAGCGUUUUCUUUCUUCCAAUUUCUUGCCUUGGGAUCUGAGUGACUGCAGACACAGCAGCGAAGAGGGGGACCAAUGCACUACAGGCAGGAAGUAUGGAGUCAAUGAUGCGGCAAAAGAGGUAUCAUUUUCCCCUGUGUAAGAUAAGAUAGCUGCUGUGUCCAAAGUGCAUAUAGCAUAGAGUGGGGCUUCAACCCAAGGCUUGCCACGUGCACAAGCUAAGCAGUGAGGAGGAAGAAAAAGCUAUGUUCAUUUGUACACAGAUUCUUGUUUCUGAAAAUGCCGGUAUGCGCAAUGUCCAAACACAGGACUCAGACACAAUGCGGACAAUGGAAGCUCUGAACCCACAAGACACAGCACUUCCUUCUGGCUGAUGUGCUCAAGGACUGUGUCACAGUACUAGAAAGCUGACAAACACGCACAUCAAUAAACAGAAGAAGAACAAGCCUGUGGAGGAAGAUGGAUGAGGAAGUAAAAGGACUUGCCACUAAAGGCAUGUCUAAUACAGAUCCAGUUCCUGAAGAGUGAAAGUGUGGGUUACACCCAAUUGAAUACCCUGGUUAACUGAACCAGCACUGGCCCCAAAAUUGGAAGCAAUGUGGAAUGCCUAAUCACAGAAGAAAGUGGUAAACAAUCCAAAAUGAUUCACAGAAAAUACAGCUGUUUCUGCUUACUCUUGCUUUAUUAUGUCACAAUGGUAUGUAUUUAUAAUUUAAUCUAUAUGUUAUAAAAUAGCAAGGCAGAAGCAAGGGAACACAAUUAUAGCUACAUAUAUUAGAUCUGGAAACAGUUUUGAAUCUACUUGCCUGCACAUGCGUGCGUCCAUGUGAGUGUGUGAGUGUGGUGUGUGUGUGUGUGUGGUGUGUGUGUGUGUCUAUGUGUAUAUGUAUGUGUUUGUGUAGGCCAAUGUGGAAGCCAUAAGACAACCUUUGGGGUCAUUUUUUAUGUGCCACCAAAUUUUUAAUUUGACAUUUUAUUCUCUAUUAUUUACUUGGAGGGUAGAGGUAGAAACAUACAUACUUCAUAUAGAAUAUGCAUGUAUACUAGAAAACAAUUUAUGGGAUUUGUUUUUCCACGUGUGUCUUAGUUGGAGUUUCUAUGGUUGUGAUAAAACAUGACUGUGGUGGUUUGAAUAAGCUUAGCCCAGGCAAAGUGGCACUAUUAGUGGCCUUGUUGUGCAGCACUAUGGGGGUGGGCUUUGAAGCUCUGCCCAGAGAGGAAGAAACCUUCCUCCUGGCAGAAGCGAUGUCAUGCUUCCCCUACAAUGAUAAUGGAGUGAACCUCUGAACCUAUAAGUCAGACCCAAUUAAAUGUUGUCCUUUAUAAAAGUUUCCUAGGUCUUGGUGUCUGUUCACAGCAAUGAAAUCCUCACUAGGCCGGGUGGUGGUGGCUCACGCCUUUAAUCCCAGCACUUGGGAGGCAGAGGCAGAGGCAGGUGGA